Cinara cedri is the source of this 448-nucleotide non-coding RNA. NCBI's taxonomy places the organism in Eukaryota, Metazoa, Arthropoda, Insecta, Hemiptera, Aphididae. The record is from the annotation of a GenBank genome assembly.
CAAUAAUCGCGUUACAAAUAGACGGUAAUAUAAUAUUAUAACGAUUUGUAAUACACUGCCGGCGGCCGAAAUUGAAUCGGAAAACGGAGCGUUUGCCGGAUUUGUGUAUACACGUAACUAUGUACCUAUAGCUAACUUAUUAAACGAUAUUAACGCAACUUACAAACACUACACGCGCAUAGAGCGUACAAAGCGUUUGUCGAGUUGUGCGUGAUCAUUAAUUAUUAUAGAAUUCUACCUGCGUACAGAUAUAGGUUGGCCCGCGUAACUUUUUGCGGGAAAUUCAAAUAUACGCGUUUUACCGGUUCGCAAACUAAAUAUUAUAACGAUUUGAAGUUUUCGCGACCGAAUUAAACAUUCCGACUACCACUAAUGCCUGUGCACAGGCAAUUUUAGUGCUACAACGUUGCACACGAGGUACGGUUAUGGUACCGAGGUUUAACAACUA